RNAcentral lists this ribosomal RNA (253 nucleotides) under uncultured bacterium. RNAcentral's name for it is "partial 16S ribosomal RNA". It matches the Rfam family "Bacterial small subunit ribosomal RNA", at positions 524 to 776 of the family's 1533-position model. The record is from RNAcentral.
UACGUAGGAGGCAAGCGUUGUCCGGAAUUACUGGGUGUAAAGCGCGUGUAGGCGGCAGGCCAAGUCUGUGGUGAAAUCGCUCGGCUCAACUGGGCGGGGUCCAUGGAAACUGGUCAGCUGGAGGACGGUAGAGGUGAGUGGAAUUCCCGGUGUAGUGGUGAAAUGCGUAGAGAUCGGGAGGAACACCAGAGGCGAAGGCGGCGACCUGGACAGGUACUGACACUCAACUACGAAAGCGUGGGGAGCAAACAGG